RNAcentral lists this ribosomal RNA (292 nucleotides) under uncultured bacterium. Its description in RNAcentral is "partial 16S ribosomal RNA". It matches the Rfam family "Bacterial small subunit ribosomal RNA", at positions 505 to 796 of the family's 1533-position model. The record is from RNAcentral.
GUGCCAGCAGCCGCGGUAAUACAGAGGGUGCGAGCGUUAAUCGGAGUUACUGGGCGUAAAGGGCGCGUAGGCGGUGAGAUGAGUGUGAUGUGAAAGCCCCGGGCUUAACCUGGGAAGUGCAUUGCAAACUAUCUGACUGGAGUAGAUGAGAGGGUGGCGGAAUUUCCGGUGUAGCGGUGAAAUGCGUAGAGAUCGGAAGGAACGUCGAUGGCGAAGGCAGCCACCUGGCAUCAUACUGACGCUGAGGCGCGAAAGCGUGGGGAGCGAACAGGAUUAGAAACCCCGGUAGUCC